AACGACUCUCGGCAACGGAUAUCUCGGCUCUCGCAUCGAUGAAGAACGUAGCGAAAUGCGAUACUUGGUGUGAAUUGCAGAAUCCCGUGAACCAUCGAGUCUUUGAACGCAAGUUGCGCCCGAAGCCAUCUGGCCGAGGGCACGUCUGCCUGGGCGUCACGCGUCUCUUCGCCCCCCCCCCCC
Molecule: ribosomal RNA, 183 nt
Filed under: Lysionotus pauciflorus
Lineage: Eukaryota; Viridiplantae; Streptophyta; Magnoliopsida; Lamiales; Gesneriaceae
Description: 5.8S ribosomal RNA
Rfam family: 5.8S ribosomal RNA (bases 4-159)
About the family: 5.8S ribosomal RNA (5.8S rRNA) is a component of the large subunit of the eukaryotic ribosome. It is transcribed by RNA polymerase I as part of the 45S precursor that also contains 18S and 28S rRNA.
Source: RNAcentral